RNAcentral lists this ribosomal RNA (468 nucleotides) under uncultured bacterium. RNAcentral's name for it is "partial 16S ribosomal RNA". It matches the Rfam family "Bacterial small subunit ribosomal RNA", at positions 28 to 507 of the family's 1533-position model. The record is from RNAcentral.
GACGAACGCUGGCGGCGUGCUUAACACGUGCAAGUCGAACGGAAAGGCCCUGCUUUUGUGGGGUGCUCGAGUGGCGAACGGGUGAGUAACACGUGAGUAACCUGCCCUUGACUUUGGGAUAACUUCAGGAAACUGGGGCUAAUACCGGAUAGGAGCUCCUGCUGCAUGGUGGGGGUUGGAAAGUUUCGGCGGUUGGGGAUGGACUCGCGGCUUAUCAGCUUGUUGGUGGGGUAGUGGCUUACCAAGGCUUUGCCGGGUAGCCGGCCUGAGAGGGUGACCGGCCACAUUGGGACUGAGAUACGGCCCAGACUCCUACGGGGGGCAGCAGUGGGGAAUAUUGCACAAUGGGCGGAAGCCUGAUGCAGCAACGCCGCGUGCGGGAUGACGGCCUUCGGGUUGUAAACCGCUUUCGCCUGUGACGAAGCGUGAGUGACGGUAAUGGGUAAAGAAGCACCGGCUAACUACGUG